RNAcentral lists this long non-coding RNA (531 nucleotides) under Lathyrus oleraceus (garden pea). RNAcentral's name for it is "Pisum sativum (pea) long non-coding RNA (PSAT_LNC017300)". Lineage: Eukaryota; Viridiplantae; Streptophyta; Magnoliopsida; Fabales; Fabaceae. The record is from RNAcentral.
UCAAAACAAAUCUUUUUUUAGUCAUUGAGAGAGUAAGACAAUGUUAGACUAUUUGGUGAAUAAAACAAGUUUAAAUAUUAUUUGGAAUGAAAUAUUUUUGAACUUUUAUUACAUGUGACAAAUAUGGUGACAAAUAUUUCAUUACAUCCUAUAUACAUCCCACGUGGGUUUCUUUUACAGGGCCAUUGCAGAAAAAGACAAAAAGAAAAAAAGUAUAUCCAAUCUUCAUUCCCACCCAUUUCCUUCCAUCCUCGUGCAACAUCGUCAUCUUCAAGUGUCAUGCCUAUGAUCACUCACACCAUUCAAGCAUCAUCACCAUCAUUCCAUACGAAUAAAAAACAACAAAAAUAAAUAACAAAGCAGUUUGCUAUUCAUAUUCAUGAACACAGACACAAAUACAUUUCAUCCCCAUACAUACAUUGGGGACCACAAGCAAUUCAUCACGCGUAUUAUCACACAAAACUCAUGCUCAACCCAUACGGCUACCAAUACCAUCACCCAUCAUCCAAAAUCAUACAUACAUCAAUUAAC